CUCCUACGGGAGGCAGCAGUAGGGAAUCUUCGGCAAUGGACGAAAGUCUGACCGAGCAACGCCGCGUGAGUGAAGAAGGUUUUCGGAUCGUAAAACUCUGUUGUUAGAGAAGAACAAGGAUGAGAGUAAAAUGUUCAUCCCUUGACGGUAUCUAACCAGAAAGCCACGGCUAACUACGUGCCAGCAGCCGCGGUAAUACGUAGGUGGCAAGCGUUGUCCGGAUUUAUUGGGCGUAAAGCGAGCGCAGGCGGUUUCUUAAGCGUGAUGUGAAAGCCCCCGGCUCAACCGGGGAGGGUCAUUGGAAACUGGGAGACUUGAGUGCAGAAGAGGAGAGUGGAAUUCCAUGUGUAGCGGUGAAAUGCGUAGAUAUAUGGAGGAACACCAGUGGCGAAGGCGGCUCUCUGGUCUGUAACUGACGCUGAGGCUCGAAAGCGUGGGGAGCGAACAGGAUUAGAUACCCUGGUAGUCCACGCCGUAAACGAUGAGUGCUAAGUGUUGGAGGGUUUCCGCCCUUCAGUGCUGCAGCAAACGCAUUAAGCACUCCGCCUGGGGAGUACGACCGCAAGGUUGAAACUCAAAGGAAUUGACGGGGGCCCGCACAAGCGGUGGAGCAUGUGGUUUAAUUCGAAGCAACGCGAAGAACCUUACCAGGUCUUGACAUCCUUUGACCACUCUAGAGAUAGAGCUUCCCCUUCGGGGGCAAAGUGACAGGUGGUGCAUGGUUGUCGUCAGCUCGUGUCGUGGGAUGUUGGGUUAAGUCCCGCAACGAGCGCAACCCUUGAUCUUAGUUGCCAUCAUUAAGUUGGGCACUCUAAGGUGACUGCCGGUGACAAACCGGAGGAAGGUGGGGAUGACGUCAAAUCAUCAUGCCCCUUAUGACCUGGGCUACACACGUGCUACAAUGGACGGUACAAAGAGCUGCAAGACCGCGAGGUGGAGCUAAUCUCAUAAAACCGUUCUCAGUUCGGAUUGUAGGCUGCAACUCGCCUACAUGAAGCUGGAAUCGCUAGUAAUCGCGGAUCAGAAUGUCGCGGUGAAUACGUUCCCGGGCCUUGUACACACCGCCCGU
RNAcentral lists this ribosomal RNA (1069 nucleotides) under uncultured Enterococcus sp. RNAcentral describes it as "bacterial SSU rRNA". It matches the Rfam family "Bacterial small subunit ribosomal RNA", at positions 336 to 1397 of the family's 1533-position model. Lineage: Bacteria; Bacillati; Bacillota; Bacilli; Lactobacillales; Enterococcaceae. The record is from RNAcentral.